UCAGUUAUCGUUUAUUUGAUAGUACCUACUUACUUGGAUAACCGUGGUAAUUCUAGAGCUAAUACAUGCUAAAAACCCCAACUUCGGAAGGGGUGUAUUUAUUAGAUAAAAAACCAAUGCCCUUCGGGGCUCCUUGGUGAUUCAUAAUAACUAAACGAAUCGCAUGGCCUUGCGCCGGCGAUGGUUCAUUCAAAUUUCUGCCCUAUCAACUUUCGAUGGUAGGAUAGUGGCCUACCAUGGUGGCAACGGGUAACGGGGAAUUAGGGUUCUAUUCCGGAGAGGGAGCCUGAGAAACGGCUACCACAUCCAAGGAAGGCAGCAGGCGCGCAAAUUACCCAAUCCCGACACGGGGAGGUAGUGACAAUAAAUACUGAUGUGGAGCUCUUUAGGGUUUCACAAUUGGAAUGAGAACAAUCUAAACCACUUAACGAGGAACAAUUGGAGGGCAAGUCUGGUGGAAAGCACUGGCGCCAGACGUCAAACAGGGUGGGUGGCCCCCCCGGGGCACACCCGCCAGGUAUCCGGUACGGGGAAGGGCCCACAGGGCCUCAUCCCGUGGCGGGGGGUUCACCCCCGCCGUAACGCAUGGCAGGAUACCGGCGGCUGAUCGCAGCCGCUUGAGGGACAUGCUAUUCGGACCCGAUCAAGG
RNAcentral lists this ribosomal RNA (649 nucleotides) under Trapelia coarctata. RNAcentral describes it as "bacterial SSU rRNA". The stretch from base 1 to 488 matches the Rfam family "Eukaryotic small subunit ribosomal RNA", at positions 106 to 600 of the family's 1831-position model. Lineage: Eukaryota; Fungi; Ascomycota; Lecanoromycetes; Trapeliales; Trapeliaceae. The record is from RNAcentral.